CUGGGCUGAAAGGGGCGGAGGCAGACCCUAAGAGACGUGGCCAGUCCCGGGGGGGCGGGACCUUCGCCCCCGGGGGGGCGGGCCCCAGGCGGGGAGAGGAGGAGCCAGAGAGGCGGGAGUGGGACAAAUCCGUAACCCAGGAAGCAGAUCUGUGGCGAAAGCCACAGCCCAGAAAGCUGAUAGGGGGCGGAGCCACAGGCCCAGAAGCUGGGGUCGGGGGGCGAAGGAAAGGAACCGGGUCUGGGAAGCAACUUGGAGGCAGAGCCUCACUCAAGGGGCGGAGCCGAGGUCCAGAGGGCAGACCAGGGGAGGGUAAACCGCCCUAAAAACGCGGGGUUCGCGCAGGGAAGGGAGGAAUUUCGGCUUUGGAGGCGGUGUCCACCGGGGAAACACCUGCUGGGGGCCGGGCGAAGGACCAGAAGCUGGAGCGAGAUUGAGCAGAGGAGGGGAGACUGGGUGGCGGCGGCCCCCGAGGACGAGUCUCGGAAGACGGGAUGGGGCGGGUUAAGGAGGAGCCUGGGCUGGAGCCUGGGGCAGACCACCAAGCCUGCCAAGUAUUUCACCUCAAUUACUCAACGAAUUCAUUGUAAUUCAGCUGUUGCCUCGCUUGUGAACCUCAGGCGGGCCUGUUUUCUUUUCUCGGUUUCUCCACCAGAGUGGGGUCAUCUCCACGGUUGCGAAUGCGAAUGGAAUUCUCGAAAAAAGGCUGAUCUUAAAAAUGAGCCCAUUCACGCAGGCUUGCUUUGAUUAACAGACGAGAACUACCGCAACUUUAUACAAAACUGGGCCGCCAGUGUGCUCGGGAACAGUGGGACCUUUCAUUUCCUCCAUUCGCCUCACUGCAGCUCCAGUCACCAGCGCGGGCAGUGAGUCACCCUCAAAGCCAGCCAUUAGCACAGCCAAGCAAAGCAAUACUAACAAUAAACUGAAGCGCACAGUGA
Lynx canadensis (Canada lynx) is the source of this 941-nucleotide long non-coding RNA. RefSeq lists it as uncharacterized. The record is from RefSeq and is a predicted model, not a curated record. NCBI's taxonomy places the organism in Eukaryota, Metazoa, Chordata, Mammalia, Carnivora, Felidae. The transcript has 2 exons.